CAGCCGCCGCGGUAAUACGAAGGGGGCUAGCGUUGUUCGGAAUCACUGGGCGUAAAGGGUGCGUAGGCGGAUUCUUAAGUCAGGGGUGAAAUCCCGAGGCUCAACCUCGGAACUGCCUUUGAUACUGGGGAUCUUGAGUCCGGAAGAGGUGAGUGGAACUGCGAGUGUAGAGGUGAAAUUCGUAGAUAUUCGCAAGAACACCGGUGGCGAAGGCGGCUCACUGGUCCGGAACUGACGCUGAGGCACGACAGCGUGGGGAGCAAACAGGAUUAGAUACCCGCGUAGUCCCUGUCUCUUAUAC
RNAcentral lists this ribosomal RNA (301 nucleotides) under uncultured bacterium. RNAcentral describes it as "partial 16S ribosomal RNA". It matches the Rfam family "Bacterial small subunit ribosomal RNA", at positions 509 to 807 of the family's 1533-position model. The record is from RNAcentral.